AACGAACGCUGGCGGCGUGCCUAACACAUGCAAGUCGAACGAGAAUUUUCCCUUCGGGGAAAUAGUAAGUGGCGCAAGGGUGAGUAACACGUGAAUAAUCUGCCUACGAAUUCGGGAGUAACGCGGCGAAAGCUGUGCUAAUACCGGAUAAGACCACAUCUCUUCAGGGAUGUGGCCAAAGGAGCCUCAAGCUCCGUUUGUAGAUGAGUUCGCGAACCAUUAGCUUGUUGGCGGGAUAAUAGCCCACCAAGGCGACGAUGGUUAGCCGGCCUGAGAGGGUGAUCGGCCACACUGGAACUGAGACACGGUCCAGACUCCUACGGGAGGCAGCAGUGGGGAAUAUUGCGCAAUGGGCGAAAGCCUGACGCAGCAACGCCGCGUGAGGGAUG
RNAcentral lists this ribosomal RNA (389 nucleotides) under uncultured Nitrospina sp. Its description in RNAcentral is "bacterial SSU rRNA". It matches the Rfam family "Bacterial small subunit ribosomal RNA", at positions 29 to 410 of the family's 1533-position model. The record is from RNAcentral. Lineage: Bacteria; Pseudomonadati; Nitrospinota; Nitrospinia; Nitrospinales; Nitrospinaceae.